GACGAACGCUGGCGGCGUGCUUAACACAUGCAAGUCGAACGGAAAGGCCCUGCUUUUGUGGGGUGCUCGAGUGGCGAACGGGUGAGUAACACGUGAGUAACCUGCCCUUGACUUUGGGAUAACUUCAGGAAACUGGGGCUAAUACCGGAUAGGAGCUCCUGCUGCAUGGUGGGGGUUGGAACGUUUCGGCGGUUGGGGAUGGACUCGCGGCUUAUCAGCUUGUUGGUGGGGUAGUGGCUUACCAAGGCUUUGACGGGUAGCCGGCCUGAGAGGGUGGCCGGCCACAAUGGGACUGAGAUACGGCCCAGACUCCUACGGGAGGCAGCAGUGGGGAAUAUUGCACAAUGGGAGGAAGCCUGAUGCAGCAACGCCGCGUGCGGGAUGACGGCCUUCGGGUAGUAAACCGCUUUCGCCUGUGACGAAGCGUGAGUGACGGUAAUGAGUAAAGAAGCACCGGCUAACUACGUG
This 468-nucleotide ribosomal RNA is filed under the name uncultured bacterium. RNAcentral describes it as "partial 16S ribosomal RNA". It matches the Rfam family "Bacterial small subunit ribosomal RNA", at positions 28 to 507 of the family's 1533-position model. The record is from RNAcentral.